RNAcentral lists this ribosomal RNA (467 nucleotides) under uncultured bacterium. RNAcentral's name for it is "partial 16S ribosomal RNA". It matches the Rfam family "Bacterial small subunit ribosomal RNA", at positions 28 to 507 of the family's 1533-position model. The record is from RNAcentral.
GACGAACGCUGGCGGCGUGCUUAACACAUGCAAGUCGAACGGAAGGGCCCUGCUUUUGUGGGGUGCUCGAGUGGCGAACGGGUGAGUAACACGUGAGUAACCUGCCCUUGACUUUGGGAUAACUUCAGGAAACUGGGGCUAAUACCGGAUAGGAGCUCCUGCUGCAUGGUGGGGGUUGGAACUUUUCGGCGGUUGGGGUUGGACUCGCGGCUUCUCAGCUUGUUGGUGGGGUAGUGGCUUACCAAGGCUUUGACGGGUAGCCGGCCUGAGAGGGUGACCGGGCCCAUGGGGCAGGAGGAGGGGCCAAGGCGGCAGCGGGAGGAAGGGGGGGGAAAUUUAGAAAAAAGGGGGGAGAAGGGAGGGAACAACCACGGGUGGGGGAUGACGGCUUUUGGGUGGGAAACGGAGUUCGCCAGUAACGAAGCGUGAUGACGGUAAAUGGGGAAAAAAGACCGGGUAAACUAGGG